UACGUAGGGGGCAAGCGUUGUCCGGAAUUAUUGGGCGUAAAGAGCUUGUAGGCGGUCUGUCGCGUCUGCUGAUGGAAAUCCGGGCUCAACCCCGGACUUGCAGUGGGUACGGGCAGACUAGAGUGUGGUAGGGGAGACUGGAAUUCCUGGUGUAGCGGUGAAAUGCGCAGAUAUCAGGAGGAACACCGAUGGCGAAGGCAGGUCUCUGGGCCACUACUGACGCUGAGAAGCGAAAGCAUGGGGAGCGAACAGG
This 253-nucleotide ribosomal RNA is filed under the name uncultured bacterium. RNAcentral's name for it is "partial 16S ribosomal RNA". It matches the Rfam family "Bacterial small subunit ribosomal RNA", at positions 524 to 776 of the family's 1533-position model. The record is from RNAcentral.